ACUGGGUGCAGUGGUGCAUGCCUGUAAUCCCAGCAGCUGGGGAGGCUGAGACAGGAGGAUCAUGAGUUCAAAGCAAACAUGAGGCACUAAGCAACUCAGUGAGACCUUGUCUCUA
This 115-nucleotide small RNA is filed under the name Marmota monax (woodchuck). The record is from RNAcentral. Lineage: Eukaryota; Metazoa; Chordata; Mammalia; Rodentia; Sciuridae.